AACCGGAUUAGAUACCCUGGUAGUCCACGCUGUAAACGAUGUCGAUUUGGAGGUUGUGCCCUUGAGGCGUGGCUUCCGGAGCUAACGCGUUAAAUCGACCGCCUGGGGAGUACGGCCGCAAGGUUAAAACUCAAAUGAAUUGACGGGGGCCCGCACAAGCGGUGGAGCAUGUGGUUUAAUUCGAUGCAACGCGAAGAACCUUACCUACUCUUGACAUCCAGAGAACUUAGCAGAGAUGCUUUGGUGCCUUCGGGAACUCUGAGACAGGUGCUGCAUGGCUGUCGUCAGCUCGUGUUGUGAAAUGUUGGGUUAAGUCCCGCAACGAGCGCAACCCUUAUCCUUUGUUGCCAGCGGUUCGGCCGGGAACUCAAAGGAGACUGCCAGUGAUAAACUGGAGGAAGGUGGGGAUGACGUCAAGUCAUCAUGGCCCUUACGAGUAGGGCUACACACGUGCUACAAUGGCGUAUACAAAGAGAAGCGACCUCGCGAGAGCAAGCGGACCUCAUAAAGUACGUCGUAGUCCUGGAUUGGAGUCUGCAACUCGACUCCAUGA
RNAcentral lists this ribosomal RNA (553 nucleotides) under uncultured Leminorella sp. RNAcentral describes it as "bacterial SSU rRNA". It matches the Rfam family "Bacterial small subunit ribosomal RNA", at positions 771 to 1323 of the family's 1533-position model. Lineage: Bacteria; Pseudomonadati; Pseudomonadota; Gammaproteobacteria; Enterobacterales; Budviciaceae. The record is from RNAcentral.